RNAcentral lists this ribosomal RNA (253 nucleotides) under uncultured bacterium. RNAcentral's name for it is "partial 16S ribosomal RNA". It matches the Rfam family "Bacterial small subunit ribosomal RNA", at positions 524 to 776 of the family's 1533-position model. The record is from RNAcentral.
UACAGAGGUCUCAAGCGUUGUUCGGAUUCAUUGGGCGUAAAGGGUGUGUAGGUGGCGCGCUAAGUCGGGUGUGAAAUUUCGGAGCUUAACUCCGAAACUGCAUUCGAUACUGGCGUGCUUGAGGACUGGAGAGGAGACUGGGAUUCAUGGUGUAGCAGUGAAAUGCGUAGAUAUCGUAAGGAAGACCAGUGGCGAAGGCGAGUCUCUGGACAGCAACUGACGCUGAGGCACGAAGGCCAGGGGAGCAAACGGG